Molecule: transfer RNA, 72 nt
Filed under: Bos taurus (domestic cattle)
Lineage: Eukaryota; Metazoa; Chordata; Mammalia; Artiodactyla; Bovidae
Also listed under: 4 other names
Rfam family: tRNA
About the family: Transfer RNA (tRNA) molecules are approximately 80 nucleotides in length. Their secondary structure includes four short double-helical elements and three loops (D, anti-codon, and T loops).
Source: Rfam by way of RNAcentral
UCCCUUGUGACUCAGCUGGUAAAGAAUCCGCCUGCAAUGCGGGAGACCUGGGUUCAAUUCCUGGAUUGGGAA